Molecule: long non-coding RNA, 2255 nt
Organism: Cuculus canorus (common cuckoo)
Lineage: Eukaryota; Metazoa; Chordata; Aves; Cuculiformes; Cuculidae
Exons: 5
Source: RefSeq, a predicted model, not a curated record
UGAAUUAAAUUUCUACUCAGAAGAUGCUUGUGUUUUCCAUCAAGUGUUUUUUUAAAGGUAUAUUUCUCACAAAAAAACCCUUGCUUUUUUGAUGACUGCAGCCUUUGGGGGCUCUGUACUUACGUGAUGCCAUCCUUGUACCCUUUCCACAGACAUUUGACUUGCUGAAUUUAGAACAGAAGAAUUUACUGUCUUUUCUUUUUAGGUGAGAUCAUGACUUGACAAAGUGCUUUAUGGAUCUCUAAAUGGAUGAGACAUUGAAGUUGCCAUCAGCAAUUAAAACUAGUUUAGGAUUUUCCUGCAAGUUCCUUCCUUUUCUACCUGCUUCUGUAGAGCCAUUGAAUUCCCUCCCAGGAUUUUUUUUGUUGGAUUAUUAGAAAUAAGUGUUGAAACUGAAUUUGACAACAUUUCUCAGAAUCACAGGAUGGCUGAGGUGGGACAGGAUCUCUGGACAUCAUCUUGUCCAGCCCCUCUGCUCAAGCAGAGACAGCUACAGCGCAUUGCCCAGGACAAUGUCCAGAUGUCACUAGGGAUGGAGAUUCAACCAUCUCUCUGUGCAACCUUUGCCAGUGCUUGGUCACCCUUACAGUGAAAAAGCAUUUCCUGAAGUUCAAAUGGAAUCCUUUGUGUUUUAGUGUGUGCCCAUUGCCUCUUACACUGUCACUGGGCACAGCUGAUAGCACUGCCUAGCUCCAUCCUCAUACACCUUUCUUUCAGGUGUUUACACACAUGGAUAAAAUCUCCCCAAACAUCCUCUUCUCCGGGCUGAACAGUUCCAGUGCUGUCAGUCUGUUCUCACAGGAGAGAUGCUCUGGUCUAUUAAUCAGCUUGCUGGCCCUUCAUUAGACUCUCUCCAGUAUAUCCAUGCCUCUCUUCUACUGGGAAGCCCAGAACUGGACACAGGCUCCAGGUGUGGCCACACCAGUGCUGAGCAGAGGGGAAGGAUCCCCUCCCUCCAACAGCUGGCAACGCUUCUCCUGGUGCAUCCUAGGAUAGCAUUCACCUUCUUUGCAGCAAGGGCACGUUGCUGGUUCACAUAAGGUGCACCUUUGGAACUGUCAUAACACUGAUCCAACUAUCAGAGAACCGGAUUCAGUGAAACUGGUGUUAAAAGCAUAGAAGUAAAUAAUAUUUCAUUGCAAUAUCUCAACAAUUAAGACUUAGUUUUUGGUCUCUGGUUGUUUUGGGUGGACUUCAGUAGCUUUCCCACAUUCAGGCUGUCCACCAUAUUUGAGGAGACUCUUCAGCUGUUUUUCUUCUUGACACAUUUCAAAGGCCCCGACCACUACUAUUAAUUCUUCCUCCUGAGAUAAAAGCAUCAGCUGGUUUACCUGGCCAGAUAUGAAUUGGCAGCAACAAAAAGCAAAAGAAAUAAAGUGAUGUUUGUGAAGGUCCUGUAGGUACAUACAAAGGUAGCAAGUAUUUGGCAGCAGAAGAAAGUUCAAUAAUUGUUCGUAAUGACUGAAAGAUAUUUUAAAACAUCAGAACAUUUUUGCGCAAUAAUUGAAGCAGGGUGCCUCCUGCUCGACAUGAAUUCAAGAAGAUGUGAACAAGGCUCUGCAAGUCAUCUACAAAUUAGGCCAAGCUCCUCUUCCAAAGCAAGUGUUUCUGAAGGAAAGUAUACUAACAGUAAUAACCCCAAAAAUGAAGAGUAUAACAAUGAGAUAAUAACAAGGAAGAAGUGUGUUAAAUUAUCACAACACAUUUCAGACUUGAAACCAUGUCUUGCAUACAAUUAAUGAAAACCUGGCUAUGACAUACGGUAUCUUCUCCUCUUUAAACAGUAGAAGGUAUUUUGGAAAUUGUGAUGUGGGAGUGUGUCCUCUAAAGAGUGAUAGUAUUGUACUGAAUUGCAUCGUGGGUGUAUUUAGUUCUGAGUGCUGCAGACUAAUUGCAAUGUAUUGAGCUGUGGCGUAGGUGUUUUUGGAAGCUGCUCUAGUUCUUAAACAUUUUAACUCAAAAUUUACAGUAGACCCUUUUCUUGAGCAAAUGUUGAGUGAUACCAGCAGUUGACUUAUCCCUAGGAUCAAGACAGAAGGAGUUGGCAUUCUCUGGUCAGAUCUAGUAAUUAUGCAUGAUAUAUGGCAUGAGAUAUGGCAAAGUGUGGUUUGUGGUAGGAAUUGCUGUUCCAGGCCAGAGUUGUGUCUCAGCUAAGUCUGCAGGUGUACCCAAGUAUGCUGGAAAAGGUUGGAGGUAGUCCUCUAUGGAAAAUACGGAAAUAACCUGGUUACAGGUAAAGGUUCUUCCUAACUUAA